RNAcentral lists this ribosomal RNA (302 nucleotides) under uncultured Pseudomonas sp. RNAcentral describes it as "bacterial SSU rRNA". It matches the Rfam family "Bacterial small subunit ribosomal RNA", at positions 1086 to 1382 of the family's 1533-position model. The record is from RNAcentral. Lineage: Bacteria; Pseudomonadati; Pseudomonadota; Gammaproteobacteria; Pseudomonadales; Pseudomonadaceae.
UCCGUAACGAGCGCAACCCUGUCCUUAGUUACCAGCACGUUAUGGUGGGCGACUCUAAGGAGACUGCCGGUGGACAAACCGGAACGGAAGGUGGGGAGUGACGUCAAGUCAUCAUGGCCCUUACGGCCUGGGCGUACACACGUGCUACAAUGGUCGGUACAAAGGGUUGCCAAGCCGCGAGGUGGAGCUAAUCCCAUAAAACCGAUCGUAGUCCGGAUCGCAGUCUGCAACUCGACUGCGUGAAGUCGGAAUCGCUAGUAAUCGUGAAUCAGAAUGUCACGGUGAAUACGUUCCCGGGCCUU